UUACAUUCAGUCUCACUCUUACGCUCUCGCUCUUUGUGGCAGUGCUUCCUCUCCCUCUCACUCUUGCUGUGACUCUCUGCGGUGGUGCUCCCCCUCGCUCUUACUCUCCGCGGCGGUGCUUCCUCUCGUUCUCACUGUUGCUCUCGCUCACAACCAUCUCUGCGACGGUGACGAGGUCAGUAUAUUCUCACCGUGUUGCGCUUGCUCCGUACCUGCAAAUGGUCCCGUCUUCGCCUUCUCUAUGUUAUAUUUUGAGUGCAUUUCUCGCCUUGGAAUAAACUACUGAAACCCCAAUACUUUGCUUUGUGGAUUGUGUGUAUUGCUUUGUCAAAAUACUCUGCCUAGAUGAAAGGUCACGACGGGUGUCUUUCAAUUUUAUUUGGGGAUUAAGGAAGUGUGACGAGUGUGGGUUGAUGCGUGAGAGAUGAGACAUUACGAGUGUCGUAAUGGAGAGACAUUAGUCAUUCUAUUUCUUUGAGCUUUCGCCUUCAUCAAUGAAUGAACAAUUUCAUCAUUGAGUGAACUGAAUCAUUCCCAACAACUGGUGGUGAUUAUGCUCAUUUGGUGAUGACUGAUGAAUAAACUUUAUUUGCCACUAUAAUCGUAUGGAAUAUAUGCUCAUUUCACUCUCUGUAUGUUGUGUGUUUAUUUCAUUAUGUUGAAGUUUUCAUUUUUGUUCCAUCUUACUUUAAUAUUAAUCAUUGUUUACCCAUACUAUAAUAAAUCAAUAAUAAAAGUUACUUAGAAACUAAAAUAGUUUUUAAUUUUUCUCACCAUCAAUGAAAUUUUUAAGUUUAAAACUGAUUUUAAACCAAUUUUUAACUAAAAUUGUUUUUUUUAAAAGAUUUUAAAACCAGUUUAAAAUUAGCUUGAAAUCGAUUUCACCAAAUCAAAUUAUUUUUUAAAUUCAUUCGUAAAAUCCCACUUAAUCGCAUAGUUUAAAAAUAAUUCUAACUUAAUUUUUCGAAAUUCCAAACCAUGUAUACAUUUCCAGCAGAGAACUGCCUGUAGAGAUUUGCUCAUAUUACCUCUCUACCCACUGGACUAACUGCGUGACGGAUUUCUAGGCUUCCUUUUUGUCAAUUUCUU
This 1089-nucleotide long non-coding RNA is filed under the name Glycine max (soybean). RNAcentral's name for it is "long non-coding RNA (GMAX_LNC000212)". Lineage: Eukaryota; Viridiplantae; Streptophyta; Magnoliopsida; Fabales; Fabaceae. The record is from RNAcentral.